Molecule: long non-coding RNA, 1488 nt
Filed under: Marmota monax (woodchuck)
Lineage: Eukaryota; Metazoa; Chordata; Mammalia; Rodentia; Sciuridae
Source: RNAcentral
AUGUAGGAGAUCAUACAGUGUUGGUCUUUCUGUGCCUUGUAUGUUUCACUUAACAUAAUGUUCUCCAGAUUCAUCUAAGUUGUCACAAAUGACAGGAUUUUGGUUUUUAUGACUGAAUAAAAUUCCAAUAUGUGGUGUGUGUGUGUGUGUGUGUGUACAUGUGUACACAUGUGCAUGCAUGCUGUGUUCAGAUAUCUUUUUGAGAUACUGGUUUUAUUUCUUUUGGACAAAUACCCAGAAGUGAGAUUUCUGGAUCAUAUCAGCCUAUUUAAAUAUUUCAUAACCCUCCAUAUUAUUUUCCAUAAUGGCUGUACCAAUCGACACUCCCACUAUUGGUGUGCAAGGAUUUAUUUUUGUGAACUUCCUUGCCAACACUUAUUAUUUCUUGUCCUUUUUCUGGCCAUUCCGGUGUGAUGUGACAUCUCAUUCUGGUUUUGGUUUUCAUUUCCUGAUGAUUAUUGAUGUGAGGCACCUUUUCGUAUGCCUGUUGGCCAUUACUGUGUGUUCUUUGGGGGGAAAAAAAAUGAACACUAAGGUCUCCUCUGUCAAUGUUUCCAAUCAAAUUAUUUGGGGUUUUUUUUGUUUGUUUGUUUUUAAAUUUUAUUUUGGUUGCUACAAGUUGUGUGAUUUCUUUAUUUUAGGUAAUAACCCUUUAUCAGAUAGAUGGUUUGCAAAUGUCUUCUCCUAUUUCAUAGGAUUUCUUUUCAUUUUCUUGAUUAUUUCCUUUGCUGUGCAAAUGCUUUUUCAUCUGAUGUAAUCCCACUUAUUAAUUUCUGCAUUUGUUACCUGCAUUUUUGGUAUCAUAUCCAAAAACUCAUCAUCAAGCCCCACCUCAAAGAGCUUUAUCCAUCUUUUCUUCAUGGGGGUUUUUAUGGCUUCAGAUCUUUAAGCCUUUAACCUAUUUAGAGUUAAUCCUAUCUUGUCCCUUUUCCCUUGCUGUAACUGAAUACUGUAGACUGAGUAAUUCAUACAGAAUGAAGAUUUAUUCAGCUCAUAGUUUAGAAGGUUGGAAAGAUGCAGAUUGGGCAGCAAUAUCUGGUGAUGUUUUUCUUGCUGGUGCAGAGUCCCAAGGUGACCCAGGGCAUCAUAUGGAAUGACGGAGCAAGUUUGCCAACUUGGGUCUCUUUCCCCUUAUAAUGCCACUAAUAACACCAUGGAGCCCUACCCUUCUGACCUUAAUCACCUCCCAACAUUUCUAUCUCCAAAUACCAUGGACAGAUUAAUUUUUCACCCUUUAAAUAAAUCAUGCAACAUAUUUUGGUCAACAAGGAUCCACAUAUAUACUGCUGGUACCAUACGACUAUGAUAGAGCUGAUAAAUUCCUAUCUUCUAAUGAAAUUUUGGGUGUACUAAUGGGUCAACCCAUCAUGUGUUUGUUGUGAUUCUGGUGUAAACAAACCUAUUUCACUGCCAGUUGUAUAAAAGUAUAGCACAUACAAUAGAGGAUGGUAUAUAAUAUACAAUAAUAACAAUAAAUGAGAGUUGCUG